RNAcentral lists this ribosomal RNA (672 nucleotides) under uncultured Ascomycota. RNAcentral describes it as "eukaryotic LSU rRNA". It matches the Rfam family "Eukaryotic large subunit ribosomal RNA", at positions 1 to 618 of the family's 3401-position model. The record is from RNAcentral. Lineage: Eukaryota; Fungi; Ascomycota.
AACUCGAUCUCAAAUCAAGUAAGACUACCCGCUGAACUUAAGCAUAUCAAUAAGCGGAGGAAAAGAAACUAACAAGGAUUCCCCUAGUAACGGCGAGUGAAGCGGGAUGAGCUCAAAUUUAAAUCUGGCCGGUUUACUAGUCCGAAUUGUAGUUUAUAGAAGCGUUUUCGGUGGCAGCCUGGGUAUAAAUCCUUUGGAAUAGGGUAUCAUAGAGGGUGAGAAUCCCGUCUUUGACUCAGUGCAUGCUACUAUGUGAUACGUUUUCAAAGAGUCGAGUUGUUUGGGAAUGCAGCUCAAAAUGGGUGGUAAAUUUCAUCUAAAGCUAAAUAUUGGCGAGAGACCGAUAGCGAACAAGUACCGUGAGGGAAAGAUGAAAAGAACUUUGAAAAGAGAGUUAAACAGUGCGUGAAAUUGUUGAAAGGGAAACGUUUGACACCAGUUAUGCGGGUGGAAAAUCAGUCUUUUGCAAUGGGGAGUUGUGGGCGUUCAGACCGCAAGGCUGGCGUUUGCUUCAUCUUUGUUGUAAGUGAUGCACUUUUUCAUUUGCAGGUCAACAUCAGUUUGCUUUGCUGGACAAAACCCCAAGGGAAGGUGGCAGCUUANGCUGUGUUAUAGCCCUGGGGCGAUACAGUGGAGUGGACUGAGGUUUCGCANUGUGUGCUCUCGGGCAAG